This is a long non-coding RNA of Mustela erminea (ermine), 1284 nucleotides long. RefSeq lists it as uncharacterized. The record is from RefSeq and is a predicted model, not a curated record. The transcript has 2 exons. Lineage: Eukaryota; Metazoa; Chordata; Mammalia; Carnivora; Mustelidae.
GAUCAUGACCUGAGCCGAAGGCAGUCGUUUAACCAACUGAGCCACCCAGGCGUCCCAACAGGAAUUUUUUUGAGCAUCUACUCCAUGCUGGGAAUACCACCACGGACAACACAGAGAGUCUCUUUCCUCCUGGAUCUCACCUGGCGGUAGAGGAGAUGGACAAUGAACAAAGAUGAAGAGGGAGUCGUCAGGGAGGCGUGGUUCUCCUAAGAAUCUGAGAAUUUUUCCACCACGUCGAAUUCACUCCAUCAGCGGCUCUGAGAAGCUCCAACAGCUGCGAGGCUGAGAAGCCGGUCAGAUCCCACCUCCAGAGAGAGGCCAGGGGCCCCUCUGUUGUGCACCAGCUGCCAUGGGAGAUCGCAGACCAUGCCAGCCAACGCCCUUGCCAGCCUUUGUUUGGAAGAACACGCCCACAAAAGAGGCUCUUGCCUCCUGAGUGCACAGCUCAAGGCUUUAUCACAAAGUGAGCACGCUGGGGAAGUCAGAUUCAAAAGCAGAAAACUCCAACUCCAUCCUCACUUGAAACACCAUAGAGGCCAACAUUCCUGGUCUCGAAUUCCCUAUAAAGGGAAUUGUGCGGCCGGUUUUCCUUUGGCUUUACGUAAUGUACCCACAUGGGCUUAUGUUGUAGAUUGUUUAUGCUCAUUUCUGUGCCUCAGGGGUUGGCAAACUACAGCCUGGGGACCAAAACCAGCCUGUUGCUCAUUUUAUAAAUAAAGUUUUAUUGGAACACCGCCACAUCUCUUCAUUCACAGUUAUCUAUAGCUGUUUGCUACAAUGGCCGUGGCAGAGACCAUAUGGCCCAGAAAGACGGAAAUAUUUACUAUCUGGCCCUUAACAGAAAAAGUUUUUCAACUCCUGCUGGAUGGCAUUCCAUUGUACAAAUACAACACUAUCUUUUUAUUCAUCCAACUGUGAAUGGGUGUUUGUGUGGUUUCCAGUUUCGGUUUAUUACAAUAGGGCUGCUAAGAACAUUCUAGUCCGGAGGUUGUUAAAUGUUUUCUGUAAAGGGCUGGAUAGUAAAUAUUUUAGACUUUAGGAGCCACAUAUGCUCUUUAUCACUUAUUCCUCUAGUUCUUCUUUUUUUUUUUCCUUUUUACAACUCUAAAAAUAUAAAGCCAUUCUUAGCUCUGGGCCACCCAAAGUCAGGCCAUAGACAGUAUUUGGCCCGCAGACUGUAGUCUGCCAAUCCCUGUCUCUGUAUGCAGAUUUUGGUGAACAUCUGUCCCACACUGUGACUGGGUAUGCCAUGUCCUCUUUUUAUAAUAAACAUUUCUUGGGGCA